CAAUAGCGUAUAUUAAAGUUGUUGCGGUUAAAAAGCUCGUAGUUGGAUUUCUGCUUUGCGAGGCCGGUCACCACUACGUGGUUGUAUCUGGUUCUAGCAGGGCAUCCUCGUCAAAAUGGUUACUGUGCUUGAUUGCAUGGUGCUGUGUUGGCGACUUUUACUUUGAGGAAAUUAGAGUGUUCACGGCAGGCAAUCGCCCUGAAUAUAUUAGCAUGGAAUAAUAAUAUAGGAUCUGAUGCCUAUUUUGUUGGUUUCUAGGUGUUAGAUAAUGAUUAAUAGGGACAAUUGGGGGCAUUCGUAUUAAGGCGUCAGAGGUGGAAUUCUUGGAUUGCCUUACGACGAACUACUGCGAAAGCAUUUGCCAAGGAUGUUUUCAUUGAUCAAGAACGAAAGUAAGGGGAUCGAAGACGAUCAGAUACCAU
Molecule: ribosomal RNA, 422 nt
Filed under: uncultured eukaryote
Lineage: Eukaryota
Description: SSU rRNA
Rfam family: Eukaryotic small subunit ribosomal RNA
Source: RNAcentral